GAGGCCAUCAAUCCUCCUGCCCAAAGAAGCCAACUGGGGCCAACCAGAACAUCUCUGCUGCUUGCUAAGGGAAUGAGUUUGUUUUCUGGAGCUGCUGCCUAUGAUUGCAGUGGAGAAAGAUGAUCUGAAAAGUCAGCCGUGAAUUUAUUGCUGCCCAUUCUCCAAGGCAUAUCUCUUACACUGUGAAUGUUGUUAAGUUGUAGGAGAGAAAAGUGCUGUAAAGGAAUAAGGAUAUCCCUGCAUUUUACCAGGGUAUGUGGAUCAUUAACAAAAUACAGCAGCAAUUCUCAACCAGGGGUGAUUUUGCUCCCCCAGGGGAUAUUUAUCAAUGUCUAGAGACAUUUUUAGAUGUCACAACUUGAAGUUUGCUACUGGAGUCUAGUGCGUAGAGGCCAGAGAUGCUGUUGAAGAUCCUACAGUGCACAGGACGGCCCUCACAAGAAUUUUUCAACCCAAUAUGUCAACAGUGCCAAGGUUGAGAAACCCAUACACAGUAAGGCCUUAUUGACCAGAAGUUGAGAAACAGCAGUUAUAAAGACCAUGCAUGUGACUCCAGAUAAGAGGUGAGAUGUUUCUUCCCAUGGACACACAGUUGUUGUGAAAAAUAUUACAGAUAAGAGCCCUGAAGAUUCACCAGAAAUGACAGCUAAGAGCAGAAAAUGUGGGAUGAUUAUUUGUUAAUACGACU
Molecule: long non-coding RNA, 688 nt
Filed under: Homo sapiens (human)
Lineage: Eukaryota; Metazoa; Chordata; Mammalia; Primates; Hominidae
Description: HSALNT0358702
Source: RNAcentral